GACGAACGCUGGCGGCGUGCUUAACACAUGCAAGUCGAACGGAAAGGCCCUGCUUUUGUGGGGUGCUCGAGUGGCGAACGGGUGAGUAACACGUGAGUAACCUGCCCUUGACUUUGGGAUAACUUCAGGAAACUGGGGCUAAUACCGGAUAGGAGCUCCUGCUGCAUGGUGGGGGUUGGAAAGUUUCGGCGGUUGGGGAUGGACUCGCGGCUUAUCAGCCUGUUGGUGGGGUAGUGGCUUACCAAGGCCUUGACGGGUAGCCGGCCUGAGAGGGUGACCGGCCACAUUGGGACUGAGAUACGGCCCAGACUCCUACGGGAGGCAGCAGUGGGGAAUAUUGCGCAAUGAGCGGAAGCCUGAUGCAGCAACGCCGCGUGCGGGAUGACGGCCUUCGGGUUGUAAACCGCUUUCGCCUGUGACGAAGCGUGAGUGGCGGUAAUGGGUAAAGAAGCACCGGCUAACUACGUG
This 468-nucleotide ribosomal RNA is filed under the name uncultured bacterium. Its description in RNAcentral is "partial 16S ribosomal RNA". It matches the Rfam family "Bacterial small subunit ribosomal RNA", at positions 28 to 507 of the family's 1533-position model. The record is from RNAcentral.